GGCUGGUCCGAAGGUAGUGAGUUAUCUCACUUGAUUGUUCACAGUCAGUUACAGAUUGAACUCCUUGUUCUACCACUUAACGCCCUCCUCACUACUGCACUUGACUAGUCUUAA
Molecule: Y RNA, 114 nt
Filed under: Propithecus coquereli (Coquerel's sifaka)
Lineage: Eukaryota; Metazoa; Chordata; Mammalia; Primates; Indriidae
Description: Y RNA (ENSPCOG00000004895.1)
Rfam family: Y RNA
About the family: Y RNAs are components of the Ro ribonucleoprotein particle (Ro RNP), in association with Ro60 and La proteins.
Source: Rfam by way of RNAcentral